This 1474-nucleotide ribosomal RNA is filed under the name Klebsiella variicola. RNAcentral describes it as "bacterial SSU rRNA". It matches the Rfam family "Bacterial small subunit ribosomal RNA". The record is from RNAcentral. Lineage: Bacteria; Pseudomonadati; Pseudomonadota; Gammaproteobacteria; Enterobacterales; Enterobacteriaceae.
GGCUCAGAUUGAACGCUGGCGGCAGGCCUAACACAUGCAAGUCGAGCGGUAGCACAGAGAGCUUGCUCUCGGGUGACGAGCGGCGGACGGGUGAGUAAUGUCUGGGAAACUGCCUGAUGGAGGGGGAUAACUACUGGAAACGGUAGCUAAUACCGCAUAACGUCGCAAGACCAAAGUGGGGGACCUUCGGGCCUCAUGCCAUCAGAUGUGCCCAGAUGGGAUUAGCUAGUAGGUGGGGUAACGGCUCACCUAGGCGACGAUCCCUAGCUGGUCUGAGAGGAUGACCAGCCACACUGGAACUGAGACACGGUCCAGACUCCUACGGGAGGCAGCAGUGGGGAAUAUUGCACAAUGGGCGCAAGCCUGAUGCAGCCAUGCCGCGUGUGUGAAGAAGGCCUUCGGGUUGUAAAGCACUUUCAGCGGGGAGGAAGGCGGUGAGGUUAAUAACCUCAUCGAUUGACGUUACCCGCAGAAGAAGCACCGGCUAACUCCGUGCCAGCAGCCGCGGUAAUACGGAGGGUGCAAGCGUUAAUCGGAAUUACUGGGCGUAAAGCGCACGCAGGCGGUCUGUCAAGUCGGAUGUGAAAUCCCCGGGCUCAACCUGGGAACUGCAUUCGAAACUGGCAGGCUAGAGUCUUGUAGAGGGGGGUAGAAUUCCAGGUGUAGCGGUGAAAUGCGUAGAGAUCUGGAGGAAUACCGGUGGCGAAGGCGGCCCCCUGGACAAAGACUGACGCUCAGGUGCGAAAGCGUGGGGAGCAAACAGGAUUAGAUACCCUGGUAGUCCACGCCGUAAACGAUGUCGAUUUGGAGGUUGUGCCCUUGAGGCGUGGCUUCCGGAGCUAACGCGUUAAAUCGACCGCCUGGGGAGUACGGCCGCAAGGUUAAAACUCAAAUGAAUUGACGGGGGCCCGCACAAGCGGUGGAGCAUGUGGUUUAAUUCGAUGCAACGCGAAGAACCUUACCUGGUCUUGACAUCCACAGAACUUUCCAGAGAUGGAUUGGUGCCUUCGGGAACUGUGAGACAGGUGCUGCAUGGCUGUCGUCAGCUCGUGUUGUGAAAUGUUGGGUUAAGUCCCGCAACGAGCGCAACCCUUAUCCUUUGUUGCCAGCGGUUAGGCCGGGAACUCAAAGGAGACUGCCAGUGAUAAACUGGAGGAAGGUGGGGAUGACGUCAAGUCAUCAUGGCCCUUACGACCAGGGCUACACACGUGCUACAAUGGCAUAUACAAAGAGAAGCGACCUCGCGAGAGCAAGCGGACCUCAUAAAGUAUGUCGUAGUCCGGAUUGGAGUCUGCAACUCGACUCCAUGAAGUCGGAAUCGCUAGUAAUCGUAGAUCAGAAUGCUACGGUGAAUACGUUCCCGGGCCUUGUACACACCGCCCGUCACACCAUGGGGAGUGGGUUGCAAAAGAAGUAGGUAGCUUAACCUUCGGGAGGGCGCUUACCACUUUGUGAUUCAUGACUGGGUGACGAU